This 796-nucleotide ribosomal RNA is filed under the name uncultured euryarchaeote. Its description in RNAcentral is "bacterial SSU rRNA". It matches the Rfam family "Archaeal small subunit ribosomal RNA", at positions 54 to 867 of the family's 1478-position model. The record is from RNAcentral. Lineage: Archaea; Methanobacteriati; Methanobacteriota.
CGAGUCGUGAGUCUUAGGGACUCGGCAUACUGCUCAGUAACACGUGCAUUUCCUGCCCUAUCGUCUGGAAUAACCUCGGGAAACUGAGAACAAGGCCGGAUAGUUCACAAUGCCUGGAACGGUUUGUGAAUCAAGGUAGGAUGGGUCUGCGGCGUAUCAGGUUGUAGGGGGUGUAACGGACCCCCUAGCCAUCGACGCGUACGGGUGUUGGGAGACAUAGCCCGGAGAUGGAUUCUGAGACACGAAUCCAGACCCUACGGGGUGCAGCAGGCGCGAAAACUUCACACUGCAGGAAACUGUGAUGAGGGAACUCCAAGUGUGUGCGUUUUACGUACACUUUUCUGAACUCUUAAUCGGUUCAGGAAUAAGGGCUGGGAAAGACCGGUGCCAGCCGCCGCGGUAAUACCGGCAGCUCAAGUGGUCGUCGCUUUUAUUGGGCCUAAAACGUCCGUAGCCUGUUUGGUAAAUCUGUGGGUAAAUCAACCCGCUCAACGGGUUGAAUUCUGCAGAGACUGCCAGACUAGGGACCGGGAGAGGUGUGGGGUACUCGAGGGGUAGAGGUAAAAUUCUGUCAUCCUUCGAGGACCACCAGUUGCGAAGGCGCCACACUGGAACGGAUUCGACGGUCAGGGACGAAGCCUAGGGGCACGAACCGGAUUAGAUACCCGGGUAGUCCUAGGUGUAAACGCUGUGAACUUGGUGUCGGGGAUCCGUAAGGGGUCCCCGGUGCCGGAGUGAAGAUGUUAAGUUCACUGCCUGGGGAGUACGGUCGCAAGGCUGACACUCAAAUGAAUUG